CCUACGGGUGGCAGCAGUGAGGAAUAUUGGUCAAUGGGCGCAAGCCUGAACCAGCCAAGUAGCGUGAGGGAAGACUGCCCUAUGGGUUGUAAACUUCUUUUAUGCAGGAAUAAAGUGAUGCACGUGUGGCUGUUUGCAGGUACUUCAUGAAUAAGGACCGGCUAAUUCCGUGCCAGCAGCCGCGGUAAUACGGAGGGUCCGGGCGUUAUCCGGAUUUAUUGGGUUUAAGGGGAGCGUAGGGGGGUUGUUAAGUGUGUGGUGAAAGUGUGUGGCUCAACCGUGAGAGUGCGGUGGUGACUGGCGGCCGUGAGUGCAGGGGAGGUAGGCGGAAUUCGUGGUGUAGCGGUGAAAUGCUUAGAUAUCACGAAGAACCCCGAUUGCGAAGGCAGCCUACUAAACUGUCACUGACACUGAUGCUCGAAAGUGUGGGUAUCAAACAGGAUUAGAUACCCGAGUAGUC
RNAcentral lists this ribosomal RNA (460 nucleotides) under uncultured bacterium. Its description in RNAcentral is "partial 16S ribosomal RNA". It matches the Rfam family "Bacterial small subunit ribosomal RNA", at positions 338 to 795 of the family's 1533-position model. The record is from RNAcentral.